Molecule: non-coding RNA, 587 nt
Organism: Apus apus (common swift)
Lineage: Eukaryota; Metazoa; Chordata; Aves; Apodiformes; Apodidae
Source: the annotation of a RefSeq genome assembly
CCAAAAAGGACAGAGGCUUUUUCCCCAUGGUUCCCUGCUGUUUCUUUCUGGUCAUGCUGGCCUGUAUGGCAUUGGCUCUGGAACAGACCCCAGACAGAGUGGUACGACAAGGCCAAGAUGUCAAUCUGAUCUGUUCCAAGAAGAAAUCCUCCAGCACAGUUAUGUACUGGUACAGGCUGCCCCUGGGGAAGGACUCCAGGCUGAUCCUAGUGGCUUAUGCAUUCGAAGGUGCCGAUGCAAAUAUUGAGAAGGAUUUCCAAAGCCAUUUCAAGGCCACGAAGAUACAAGGAGAUGCGAUGACCCUCACAAUACAGUAUGCCUUUCUCAACGACUCUGGCAUGUAUUACUGUGCUGAGAGUGAAACACAGUGGCUGAACACAAACCUCCCUCUGCACAAAAGGGACCUGCUUUCCUCCUCCUCGGUGCUGCGCAUGGCAGUUUGUGGAAAUGAAUGCAAUGGGAACCAGUUGGACCUGCAACAGAAGGAUUGCAAGCUGGAGAAGCCGCACCCUUUUGCUAAAAGGACACAGGGGAACAUCUUCACUGCAAAGCACAUGACAGCCUUGAGCAGCCUGAUCACUUGCUAG